UGUCGCAUAUGGGGGCUCAAAUUACUUCAGUGGCAAACGGAGCAUCAGUUUAUUUCGCUUUUCGUCAGAGAAGACGUAUCCGACGAAGAGAGCAGCAUGGGUACGAGCCGUGAGGCGAGCGAACCCUAAUGGCUCGGCACGCCAACCGAGCGACUACUCCAGAAUUUGCUGAGCUCGUUUUAUCACAGAGGACAGCGUCACAUCCGCAAACAUCGAGGAUGCACCACAGUUGGAGGCUCUGUCAACUGGAACAGAACUGAGAAAUGUACCGGCGACCUCAUGUUCAGCAACAGAAUGUCAUUGUCAAGUUCACUCGAUACAUUAAAAAAAUUGCAUGUGCAAUCCG
Dermacentor andersoni is the source of this 346-nucleotide long non-coding RNA. RefSeq lists it as uncharacterized. The record is from RefSeq and is a predicted model, not a curated record. Lineage: Eukaryota; Metazoa; Arthropoda; Arachnida; Ixodida; Ixodidae.